CAGGUGGUCAGGUAGAGAAUACCAAGGCGCUUGAGAGAACUCGGGUGAAGGAACUAGGCAAAAUGGUGCCGUAACUUCGGGAGAAGGCACGCUGACACGUAGGUGAAGUGAUUUACUCAUGGAGCUGAAGUCAGUCGAAGAUACCAGCUGGCUGCAACUGUUUAUUAAAAACACAGCACUGUGCAAACACGAAAGUGGACGUAUACGGUGUGACGCCUGCCCGGUGCCGGAAGGUUAAUUGAUGGGGUCAGCGCAAGCGAAGCUCCUGAUCGAAGCCCCGGUAAACGGCGGCCGUAACUAUAACGGUCCUAAGGUAGCGAAAUUCCUUGUCGGGUAAGUUCCGACCUGCACGAAUGGCGUAAUGAUGGCCAGGCUGUCUCCACCCGAGACUCAGUGAAAUUGAACUCGCUGUGAAGAUGCAGUGUACCCGCGGCAAGACGGAAAGACCCCGUGAACCUUUACUAUAGCUUGACACUGAACAUUGAGCCUUGAUGUGUAGGAUAGGUGGGAGGCUUUGAAGUGUGGACGCCAGUCUGCAUGGAGCCAACCUUGAAAUACCACCCUUUAAUGUUUGAUGUUCUAACGUGGACCCGUAAUCCGGGUUGCGGACAGUGUCUGGUGGGUAGUUUGACUGGGGCGGUCUCCUCCUAAAGAGUAACGGAGGAGCACGAAGGUUGGCUAAUCCUGGUCGGACAUCAGGAGGUUAGUGCAAUGGCAUAAGCCAGCUUGACUGCGAGCGUGACGGCGCGAGCAGGUGCGAAAGCAGGUCAUAGUGAUCCGGUGGUUCUGAAUGGAAGGGCCAUCGCUCAACGGAUAAAAGGUACUCCGGGGAUAACAGGCUGAUACCGCCCAAGAGUUCAUAUCGACGGCGGUGUUUGGCACCUCGAUGUCGGCUCAUCACAUCCUGGGGCUGAAGUAGGUCCCAAGGGUAUGGCUGUUCGCCAUUUAAAGUGGUACGCGAGCUGGGUUUAGAACGUCGUGAGACAGUUCGGUCCCUAUCUGCCGUGGGCGCUGGAGAACUGAGGGGGGCUGCUCCUAGUACGAGAGGACCGGAGUGGACGCAUCACUGGUGUUCGGGUUGUCAUGCCAAUGGCACUGCCCGGUAGCUAAAUGCGGAAGAGAUAAGUGCUGAAAGCAUCUAAGCACGAAACUUGCCCCGAGAUGAGUUCUCCCUGAGACUUAAAGUCUCCUGAAGGAACGUUGAAGACGACGACGUUGAUAGGCCGGGUGUGUAAGCGCAGCGAUGCGUUGAGCUAACCGGUACUAAUGAACCGUGAGG
RNAcentral lists this ribosomal RNA (1279 nucleotides) under Salmonella enterica. Its description in RNAcentral is "partial 23S ribosomal RNA". It matches the Rfam family "Bacterial large subunit ribosomal RNA", at positions 1660 to 2916 of the family's 2925-position model. The record is from RNAcentral. Lineage: Bacteria; Pseudomonadati; Pseudomonadota; Gammaproteobacteria; Enterobacterales; Enterobacteriaceae.